AAUCAACGCUGGCGGCGUGCCUAACACAUGCAAGUCGCACGAGAAAGUGGAGCAAUCCAUGAGUAAAGUGGCGCACGGGUGAGUAACACGUGAAUAAUCUACCUCCGAGUGGGGAAUAACUGAGAGAAAUCUUAGCUAACACCGCAUAACACUUACGAGUCAAAGCAGCAAUGCGCUUGGAGAGGAGUUCGCGGCCGAUUAGUUAGUUGGCGGGGUAAUGGCCCACCAAGACGAUGAUCGGUAUCCGGCCUGAGAGGGCGCACGGACACACUGGAACUGAAACACGGUCCAGACUCCUACGGGAGGCAGCAGUGGGGAAUUUUGCGCAAUGGGGGAAACCCUGACGCAGCAACGCCGCGUGGAGGAUGAAGUAUCUUGGUAACGUAAACUCCUUUCGAUUGGGAAGAUAAUGACGGUACCAAUAGAAGAAGCCCCGGCUAACUUCGUGCCAGCCGCCGCAAGUAAG
Molecule: ribosomal RNA, 466 nt
Filed under: uncultured bacterium
Lineage: Bacteria
Description: bacterial SSU rRNA
Rfam family: Bacterial small subunit ribosomal RNA
Source: RNAcentral